This 343-nucleotide unclassified non-coding RNA is filed under the name soil metagenome. RNAcentral's name for it is "partial contains 5.8S ribosomal RNA, internal transcribed spacer 2, and large subunit ribosomal RNA". The stretch from base 1 to 120 matches the Rfam family "5.8S ribosomal RNA", at positions 35 to 154 of the family's 154-position model. The record is from RNAcentral.
GAUGAAGAACGCAGCGAAAUGCGAUAAGUAAUGUGAAUUGCAGAAUUCAGUGAAUCAUCGAAUCUUUGAACGCACAUUGUGCCCGCUAGUAUUCUGGCGGGCAUGCCUGUCCGAGCGUCAUUUCAACCCUCAAGCCCCCGGGCUUGGUGUUGGGGAUCGGCGAGCCUCCGCGCCCGCCGUCCCCUAAAUCUAGUGGCGGUCUCGCUGUAGCUUCCUCUGCGUAGUAGCACACCUCGCACUGGGAAACAGCGCGGCCACGCCGUUAAACCCCCAACUUCUGAACGUUUGACCUCGGAUCAGGUAGGAAUACCCGCUGAACUUAAGCAUAUCAAUAAGCGGAGGA